UAGCAGCAGGGCGUUGUCUCCAGAUUCUGUUUCUUCAGAUCUAGACACGUCCCUGCUGCGGGAUUGGCUCUUGGACUUUAGAGCAUCCUCCCCAAAUUCUGCAGCAUCAGUUGAGAAAUGUUCCUUCAGUCCGGACACGAUGUAUGUUCAAAACAACAGACAACAUUGUAAUUAUUACUUAAGGUAUUCUGAAGAUAGGCCAGUUUCUCCUCUUUCAACAUUGUAUGAGGUUGAUUAUUCAGAAUUUAGUAUCAAGGAUCUCCUGAAUGAGAGCAGGCCAGAAUCGCCAGUUUCGGUAGCGUCAGAGUAUUUCAGAACAGAAACUGAGGUCUCUGUAAUUGCAGUUCCACCUCCGUCAUGUGCACGACCUUUUACAUAUGCAGACGUUGUCCGUGGCUUUACUCAUGAAAGACCAGCCGAUGCCAUGCCUAAAGUCACGGCUUCAGAGUCUGGACCUAUUUUAGUACUGUCUGAUUCCUUUGAUGAGUUGCCUGACUCCACCACAGCUGAAAUGGCCUUGGAGGUGAGACCAUGUUCACCAGAGUCUAUCGCGUCUUACUGUGAACUCAGGGCUCUUUCUCCUGACUCACCUGUUCCUCAUUUUGACAUUGCCCAAAUUGAGAAUUAUGACCAAUGCUUCAAGCAACGGUCGUACUCACCGCAAUCGAGUGUUUCAGAUUGGGAAGGUCAUGAUUGGGGUCUCCCUAACCUUUUUGAUGAGACCAGACCACUAUCGCCACAAUCUGUUUCAUCAGACAUGGAGCUCGAUCUCUUAUUUAGCAGCAGGGCGUUGUCUCCAGAUUCUGUUUCUUCAGAUCUAGACACGUCACUGCUGUGGGAUUGGCUGUUGGACAAUCGAGCUUCCUCCCCAGAUUCUGCAGCAUCAGUUGAGAAA
Hippocampus zosterae (dwarf seahorse) is the source of this 895-nucleotide long non-coding RNA. RefSeq lists it as uncharacterized. NCBI's taxonomy places the organism in Eukaryota, Metazoa, Chordata, Actinopteri, Syngnathiformes, Syngnathidae. The transcript is spliced from 4 exons. The record is from RefSeq and is a predicted model, not a curated record.